RNA transcript from Ipomoea nil (Japanese morning glory), 2655 nucleotides. RefSeq lists it as uncharacterized. Lineage: Eukaryota; Viridiplantae; Streptophyta; Magnoliopsida; Solanales; Convolvulaceae. The transcript is spliced from 6 exons. The record is from RefSeq and is a predicted model, not a curated record.
UACAACGACAGAAAUUGUGGAAUCAAGUGAGAAUAAAAAAUUGUUCUCUCUUCCCAUUUCGGACGCCAUUUGUGUCAUAAAUUAUUUCUGUUAUCUUCAAAGCUUCUUCCCAUUGAAAAAUCAAGUGAGAAUCAACACAACAUCUUCCCAAGCUUUCCUUUAUCUACACUUGUGCAUAUUGAGUUAUGGCAAAUGACCGAGUGCAUCCCGGGCCACUAGAGUCAGGUGCGCUAGCAUUUCAAACCCGUCACCGUAGUAGAGCAAUUUGGACGGAUCCAACCUAUAACGUCCAACUCAAAGCUGUGAAAUAUGAUACGUUAACGAGGUGUGCAGCCGUGGAUGAUGAAAGAGUGAAAGAGUGGCUGCGUAGAGUCAGGUGCGCUAGCAUUUCAAACCCGUCACCGUAGUAGAGCAAUUUGGACGGAUCCAACCUAUAACGUCCAACUCAAAGCUGUGAAAUAUGAUACGUUAACGAGGUGUGCAGCCGUGGAUGAUGAAAGAGUGAAAGAGUGGCUGCGUAUAUCUGGUUUUUAUGGUGUUUCUCAGCUCACCAAAAUACAGUUGGAUCAUGGGCUUAUUACUGCCCUUUUAGAGCGAUGGAGGCAGGAGGUCCACGCUUUCCACAUGCCCUUCAGUGAGGUUGGAAUAACUCUUCAAGAUGUAGAAGUGUUAUUCGGCCUUAAGGUCGAUGGACUUUUAGUGACGGGGCAUGAUACAAUUGGCACUACGGCACAAGUAAAGUUAAUGUGCCUUGAGUUGCUGGGUUUGAGCCUGCCAAUCAGUUCCUGACAACGACCAUGAUUCACGGGUCAGUUGUCCCGGAGGUUCAGGCUCUUACUGCGGAGAGCGGAGAACACGAUGUGUUGUUGGUAACACGACGUUUAAUAUUUCAUUUAUUAAACGGUUUUUUAUUUCCCGACUCAACUAAAGGGAAAUAUAAACUAUACUUGCUCCCUUACAUUAGUAAUCUGUACGUUUGUGACGAAUAUUGCUGGGGUUCGGCUGUUCUGGGAUAUCUUUACAGGGCGUUGUGUAGAGCUUCCGAACACAACAAACGUACAAUCUAGGGGUGUCUUCUUCUAGUUCAGAUUUGGGCAUGGGAGAGGCUGCCUAUGUUUAGGCCUAGAGGUGUAUUGCCGAGCGACCAAAUCGCUGACUACCCUAUUGCAUACAGGUGGGUUUGUCGGCAUUCUUGGUUAGCAGUGCCUACGCACAUUGUCGUAGCCUAUCGCGAUCAAUUAGAUCGCCUAGCUGAACAUAGAUUUGGUUUCACCCCUUACGAUGACCAUCUCGAUGCCUUGCCCCCUAUUGCAAAGCGGGGAGGAUUUUGUGGACUGUCCAUAUUCUGCUUAUUUUUUACCAUGUGGUAGAAUAUCACCAGCCUGACCGGUUCUGCAGGCAAUUCAAUGGUUUGCAGGUUGUGCCAGUAGACGUGGUAUACAACCAACGGUUGCACGAUAUGGACCAACGGGGUAAGUCUGGAACUAAUUGGUUACAGAAACAUGCAGACCACGUGGCCCGUUGGAAUGAUCGGUAUCGUUGGGUUAUCAACAUGCAUAUAACUGAUCGACCGCAGGUGGUUGAUGGGUACCGCACAUGGUACUACAUGCACGGUCGAUGUCUUAUUGGUAACCCAACGCAUUAUAGUAUCCAGGGAUUCGUGCAGUGUGCAGCAUCACUGAACGAUGCGCGGUUGAGGCUAGAUACCAGCCAAGUCCUUGACAAUCCUGACAUCGAUCGCGAUGCAUACCUUAGGGAUGUUCAGCAGCGGAGUACUGACAUGUUAGUCAAUACUGAAUUCCUUUUGCACGUGGCGCCGGAACAAUAGUUUGGGGCCCCGAUGCCGGAUGAACCAUUUGGCCCUCCGCGUGCAGAUCGUCGUCGAUACAGGCCCAACAUGCGUGGUGGUCCAGCAAUCGGUGGUCGAGGUAGGCGCGCCGAGGAAGAGGAUGAUGAGGAUGAGGAGCAUGAGAAGCAUGUGCCGGUUGAUUACGGUGCAUUGCCGAUUGUUGUUAGGGAUCGUUCACCUGAACGUGAUAGAUUUGAUUACGGUCAGAGUAGUGGGACAAAUUAUGGAGGCCAAAUACUCUGGGUUUGCUCAAUUUGCGUCAGGAUCCCAAUUUGGUGGAUUUGGAUCCGCCGGCGCUAGUGGGUAUGGCUUAGGUGAAGUCACAUUUAACACCCCAUCUAGUGCGAUGAUUGAUCCGACACAGGGUGGUUCGUCGUUUCAGUUGUUCGAUGCUCUACCCCACAAUCAAUAUGAACCUUUCCGUCCUUCAUUCAACGCCUAUCCUAUGGAGCACCCAAUUACUGAUCUACAAUUGGGAAACCCAGCAUGGGCACAGUUCGGUGGUGAAAACAAUUUGGCCUCCACUCAACAGCCGAUUGGGCAUGUUGAAGAGGAGCAGCCACGUCCACGACGGUCUACAAGACCAACGCGACCCAUGGUGUGUGGAACCGGAACUCGACACCACAGGCACAUAUGAAGUUGUCAACGUGUAAGAGUGCAAGGCGAGAGAGAUAGAGCAUCUGCUUAGCAUUUUGUUUUUUUUUUUUUUUUCAUUUGAAUUUAAUUUGCCAUGAAUUUGUUUGAUGUUAUCUGUUUGAUGUUAAUUUCCCAAACGUGAAUACAAUGUAUCAAAGCAUAACAGAUUG